GACGAACGCUGGCGGCGUGCUUAACACAUGCAAGUCGAACGGAAAGGCCCUGCUUUUGUGGGGUGCUCGAGUGGCGAACGGGUGAGUAACACGUGAGUAACCUGCCCUUGACUUUGGGAUAACUUCAGGAAACUGGGGCUAAUACCGGAUAGGAGCUCCUGCUGCAUGGUGGGGGUUGGAAAGUUUCGGCGGUUGGGGAUGGACUCGCGGCUUAUCAGCUUGUUGGUGGGGUAGUGGCUUACCAAGGCUUUGAAGGGUAGCCGGCCUGAGAGGGUGACCGGCCACAUUGGGACUGAGAUACGGCCCAGACUCCUACGGGAGGCAGCAGUGGGGAAUAUUGCACAGUGGGCGGAAGCCUGAUGCAGCAACGCCGCGUGCGGGAUGACGGCCUUCGGGUUGUAAACCGCUUUCGCCUGUGACGAAGCGUGAGUGACGGUAAUGGGUAAAGAAGCACCGGCUAACUACGUG
This 468-nucleotide ribosomal RNA is filed under the name uncultured bacterium. Its description in RNAcentral is "partial 16S ribosomal RNA". It matches the Rfam family "Bacterial small subunit ribosomal RNA", at positions 28 to 507 of the family's 1533-position model. The record is from RNAcentral.